This 608-nucleotide ribosomal RNA is filed under the name Erwinia sp. EECC-401. RNAcentral's name for it is "bacterial SSU rRNA". It matches the Rfam family "Bacterial small subunit ribosomal RNA", at positions 81 to 685 of the family's 1533-position model. The record is from RNAcentral. Lineage: Bacteria; Pseudomonadati; Pseudomonadota; Gammaproteobacteria; Enterobacterales; Erwiniaceae.
CUCUUGGGUGACGAGUGGCGGACGGGUGAGUAAUGUCUGGGAAACUGCCUGAUGGAGGGGGAUAACUACUGGAAACGGUAGCUAAUACCGCAUAACGUCUUCGGACCAAAGUGGGGGACCUUCGGGCCUCACACCAUCGGAUGUGCCCAGAUGGGAUUAGCUAGUAGGUGGGGUAAUGGCUCACCUAGGCGACGAUCCCUAGCUGGUCUGAGAGGAUGACCAGCCACACUGGAACUGAGACACGGUCCAGACUCCUACGGGAGGCAGCAGUGGGGAAUAUUGCACAAUGGGCGCAAGCCUGAUGCAGCCAUGCCGCGUGUAUGAAGAAGGCCUUCGGGUUGUAAAGUACUUUCAGCGGGGAGGAAGGCGAUAAGGUUAAUAACCUUGUCGAUUGACGUUACCCGCAGAAGAAGCACCGGCUAACUCCGUGCCAGCAGCCGCGGUAAUACGGAGGGUGCAAGCGUUAAUCGGAAUUACUGGGCGUAAAGCGCACGCAGGCGGUCUGUCAAGUCAGAUGUGAAAUCCCCGGGCUUAACCUGGGAACUGCAUUUGAAACUGGCAGGCUAGAGUCUUGUAGAGGGGGGUAGAAUUCCAGGUGUAGCGGUGAA